GCAGGCUGNAACCCGCCUGCAUGAAGUUGGAAUCGCUAGUAAUCGCGGAUCAGCAUGCCGCGGUGAAUACGUUCCCGGGCCUUGUACACACCGCCCGUCACACCAUGAGAGUCGGGAACACCCGAAGUCCGUAGCCUGACCGCAAGGGGGCGCGGCCGAAGGUGGGUUCGAUAAUUGGGGUGAAGUCGUAACAAGGUAAC
RNAcentral lists this ribosomal RNA (200 nucleotides) under uncultured bacterium. Its description in RNAcentral is "partial 16S ribosomal RNA". It matches the Rfam family "Bacterial small subunit ribosomal RNA", at positions 1300 to 1500 of the family's 1533-position model. The record is from RNAcentral.